RNAcentral lists this unclassified non-coding RNA (270 nucleotides) under uncultured fungus. RNAcentral describes it as "partial contains 5.8S ribosomal RNA, internal transcribed spacer 2, and large subunit ribosomal RNA". The record is from RNAcentral. Lineage: Eukaryota; Fungi.
AACGCACCUUGCACCCUUUGGUAUUCCGAAGGGUACGCCCGUUUGAGUGUCGUUGUAAUCUCACUUCAGAACGAUCUGAAUGUGGACCUGGGAGUUGCUGGGAACCCAGCCCUCCUCAAAAGCCUCAGUGCAAUCCUCGAUGUGCCGUACAGGUGUGAUAAUUCACUCACCGUGACAAGGGCGCUCGAGGCCUCUUGCGCUUCCAACUGUCUCUCGAGACAAUUUUGAACAUUUGACCUCAAAUCGGGUGGGACUACCCGCUGAACUUAA